Long non-coding RNA from Oreochromis niloticus (Nile tilapia), 4677 nucleotides. RefSeq annotates it as GRB2-associated-binding protein 1. The record is from RefSeq and is a predicted model, not a curated record. The transcript is spliced from 13 exons. Lineage: Eukaryota; Metazoa; Chordata; Actinopteri; Cichliformes; Cichlidae.
GCCUGUUAACUCGAUUCAGUAGUGUUCCAGAGGAGGGUGAGUUUAGGGAAAGACGGAGCCACCCUGUCAAUCACAAUUAAGAAACCAUGGGAGUAAACUGGUAGGAAAGCUAGGCGAAACCACCGUGUUUACGGUCGAGCUUGUUUUAAUUUGCGUUCAGACGACAACUAUGCACCGGUACAGUGUGGGACAUACACAUCCGACCUCUCCAGAUGGGAAUCGCUUCACUUUGACGGGAAUUAGCAUGAGACGUUAAAUAUAACAACAAAAAAACUUGCCGACUUUCAUUUGUCUGCGCCUGUUUUUUUCUUUUUUCCUCUUUUUUUUGCCCCCACAGACUUCCAGUUUGAACAAAAUACAAAAGUCACCGUUGAUAUUGUUCGAAAGGCGGUGCCGCCGGGGGUUUAUGUUUACUCCAAGCUAAGGAGACACGUUUAUUUGAGUACAACUCGUGGAAAUCUGGUCUGUGCAUUUCACAGAACUGCCGUGUCGGCGAGUCGACUUUCGGAGGAGUGACGGUACAAGAAGACACUCCCGAAAACAACCAGCGCCAAGCGUCAAUCCGGGCUCAAACUCCAGGGAGAGCAAGAAAAGGAGCAGAAAUGAGCGGGGGAGAGGUGGUGUGCUCGGGGUGGCUGAGAAAGUCUCCUCCUGAAAAAAAGUUGAGACGUUACGCAUGGAAGAAGCGGUGGUUUGUUCUUCGCAGUGGCCGUCUGACAGGCGACCCAGACGUGUUGGAGUACUACAAGAAUGACCAUGCCAAGAAGCCCAUUCGUGUGAUUGACCUCAACUUGUGUGAACAGGUGGAUGCCGGUCUGACCUUCAGCAAGAAAGAUUUGGAGAACAGCUACAUAUUCGACAUCAAAACCUUUGACCGCAUCUUUUAUCUGGUGGCUGACACCGAAGACGAGAUGAAUAAGUGGGUCCGCCACAUCUGCGACAUUUGUGGUUUUAACCCCACCGAUGACGAUGCAGCAAAAGCUGCUCACCAGUCCGCCAUGGGACUGGUGGUGGAAAACGCCCCACACCCAGGUCCAGGAGUGUUUACCAAUGUGCCGGCCCCUUACCAGCCAGUCAGCGUGCGACACCUGGACUCACAGUCCAGUUCAGAGGAGCCCCAGGAUUACCUGUGGCUUGCUAACUGUGAGAGCAAAAAGCCUGAACCCAGCAGAGCUCAUGCUGAGUGCUCCAAGUCUACCUCUUCAGAGACAGACCUGAAUGACAACCUUCCAUCUCACCGCACGCCUACAUCCUCCACUUCCUCGGCUAAACACACCUCACACAAUGGCUUCUUCCCACCGCACCAGACUCCUGUGUCCGCCCCUUCCAUCUAUGACUCGCCUCCAUCACGCGGUGCCUCACUCUCAACUGACAGCGGCUUUUAUCAUCUUCCUCGCAGCUACUCCCAGGACACUGUGCUGCUCCCCAAGUCAGCCUCCUCCCCUCCGGCUCAUCCAGACGGCGCGGAUGCCUCUGACCUUUAUGUCUUCAACACGCCGACACGGAAGCCCUCAGUGGAGACACAGAUGCGCAACGUUUCUAUCAGUUACGACAUCCCGCCCACACCCGGUGCAAACAGCACCUACCAAGUGCCCCGCACAGUAUCGAACACAGGGGUAGGAGGCUCAGAAAGCGGGGGAGAUGUAGUGCCUCCUCCCAGACCACCCAAGCCUUCCCUCAGUUCCAGCUCAGGACUCCCGCCGCCUCCUGCUGAGCGCUCACCUACAGACACCUAUAGUGUGCCUCGAUCAGCCUCAGAGACAGAUGGAAACUACUGUGUGCCCACAAGCGCUGGGAGUAAGGCUUUACGCAGCAACACUAUUGGCACUGUGGACUGUUCACGCCUCCGCAAAGACUUUGGAUCCCAGGACUGCUAUGACAUUCCUAGAUCAUUCCCUUCUGACAAAAGCUGCUCGUUUGACUUCAAUGAAAGCUUCAACACCUAUUUUAAAAGCAAAGGAAUGAUGCCAGUGGGUAGCCAUUCUGCAGAAGAGGUCGACCAAAACUACGUGCCCAUGAGUGCCAACUCACCGUCACAUCAUCACUCGGGCAGUUUGCCAGAGCCAAUGCACGAAACCAACUACGUCCCCAUGACCCCAGGUACUAUGGAGUUCUCAUCCCUGGGAAAACAGGUUCCUCCACCCGCCCACAUGGGAUUUCGCUCAAGCCCAAAGACCCCUCCCCGCAGGCCGCUGCUUAGUGAGUGCCAGCCCCCACCUGUGGACCGAAAUCUCAAACCCGAUCGCAAAGGUCACAGUCCUAAAAUAAUAAGAGCGGGUUUAGAGCGAACAGACUCUCAAACCGUAGGUGAAUUCCCAAGUCGACGACGCAAGGUAAAACCUGCUCCACUAGAGAUCAAACCAGUGCCAGAAUGGGAUGAGCCAAGCACGCCUGUUCGCUCACCUGUGACACGGUCGUUCGCUCGAGAUCCUUCUAGGUUUCCAAUGCCAACGAGACCCCCGUCAGUGCAUAGCACGGCCUCCAGCACUGACUCCGAGGACUCUACUGAACCGAAUUACGUAGCCAUGAACCCUAAUAUGUCCACAGAUGAAGCAAUCACGAAGCUUGCUCCGCCCAUGAAUGCUGAUGGUGGGAGUAGCCCUGUGGUAAAACCGAAGGGAGACAAACAGGUAGAAUACCUGGACUUGGAUCUCGAUUCCGGCAAGUCUACCCCACCUAGGAAGAUGAAAAGCAACGGAACUGGCAUCACAGCAUCAGACGAGCGUGUCGACUAUGUAGUUGUGGACCAGCAACGAACACAGGCCCUUAAGAGCACCCGGGAGGCCUGGAGCGAUGGCCGCCAAUUGACAGAGACAGAUACCCCCUCUAAAGGACCCAAGUGACCCUGUUGUCCCAACAAUACAACCCCAUCACUCAACCCACUCUAAACUACCAAAACGCCACAGCUUCCACACUAAUGCUGGUUCUGGUUUUCCUUUUGGGACGAUCCAGCUGUCCCGUUCCAACCUAACAAGAUCCCUAGUGUGUAAGAGCCAGUGGAGCGUCAUAGCCACUCAACGUUGUUUAGUUUACACUGCUGUCGGGCUUAAAGGAGCGCUGUGUGUACAGCUGUAGAAAGGGGCGUGGUCCAGGAAUAAGCUGUAUGCAGUUUGAGAGCAUGUGGAAAGACUGGACUUGUUUGCAGGAUUUGACCUGAGCAGACUCACCAACUCUGAACAUUCACUGCCUUCUUUACGGAUUAGUUAUGUCGUCGUUCACCUUUCAGCGGCCUGUGGGCUGAUCCAGAGUUAACAUUUCCUAAAAAUUGUAAUGCUGUUUGAUGUCGUUUUGGAGUGCAAGUGAAAACACUUUAUAACAUGAUCACAGCUCUGUCAGCGCAACACUAAAAGUUAGCAUAGCACGUUAACGGUGUUGUGUUUUUGUUUUUGUUUUUUUGUUUUCCUGCUGUUUGAGCAGGGUGAAGUUACCAUGGACACUGUUAGCAGCUCAGGAAACUGACCCCGAACUGUGUCUAAGGCGAACUUCAAACCGGAAAGCCAGUACGACAAAAUUUCAGAGAAGCAUUACUUUAGAUUUUUCUUCCACUUGCUUAGGCACCUGUACUAAAAUUCAAGCUUCGGAUUCACUUGAGGUUUUUAAUCCACUGAACAUGAUUCGAUUUCCAUUUAUUCAGUAAGUGGAGAUGCUUCGAUCUGUUGUAAUGGAAGUGCAAAGACUGUACAAUAGUGUUAUGUAUAUAAACAGGAAAAGUGUCCUUUGUUUGUAUGGAAUAUCCAGCAUGUUUGACUCUAAGGUAUAUGGAUUCUGCAGGGUAGAAUCCCGUACCUGACUCGAUGGUAUCAGCACUUGUGAUAAAUGAAUGAAUUACUGUGAGUUUUUAAAAGAACGUGACAGGUUUUCUCUAAGUUAUGCAAAGGUAUCAAAGUGAGAGAGAGAGAAAGAGAGAGAGAAAAAUCAGGUACUCUUUAUGAAUGCAUAUUAAUGCAACUUUCCAUUUCUAAUUUAUUUCUCGAGUUAUUGUAUCAGGUGGAUGUCUUGUCCAUCUUUUUCCUUUUUUUUAGCUCAGUAUUGAUUGAUAUGGAGGAACAUUUGCUAAAGUCUGCUAAAAUGCUUAGUUUGACAAGCGGUCAAUUAGUUUCACAGGUUCAUUUCUCCUUUCUCUUCCUCAUUUCUCUCUCCACUUAGGUUUAAUUUAUUUUAAAUUGAACUGGCAUACAGUUUUGGGAAAUUGACUGCCUCGUGCAGUCAACUUGAUGCAUAUUUUAGAGACAGAAAGUCUUCGCCGGCAUACAUCCCUGCUUUACUUGACUUGACUGUCGGCUCUCGCGCAGAAAUCCCAAGCAUGUGCUGCCACGUGAUUUUAAAAAAACAAAGAAACAACUCAUAGCUGUACAUAUUUUGCCAUCAAUUAGAUUUAACAUGUAUCGUUUGAAAGAUGUGCCUACUAAGUCAUCUUCCUUCUACUUCACUCUUUCCUUUAUUGCAGUCUCUUUGUGAAAUGGACUGCAAAGCUGAUGAUGCUUUAUCUUUUUUAAUGAAUCUCAAGAGAAAUGUACAUUUUAAAAGUGGACUAAAUAAAAUCCAGCCUCAAACCCAUCUACAAGUGACCUGCUUGUUUUCUGGGGUUUCGCUUCCUGUUGUGAAUGUUUUAUGUUCUUUGCACUUCUUUCUGUAAUUUUUCCAAUCAUAGAACAAUUAAAGAAAUCAUUUCUCUUA